CUUUGUAGUUGCUUUGUGGGUAUUUGUAGUUGUUUUUUGGGUCUUUGUAGUUAUUUUGUGGGUCUUUGGAGUUGUUUUGAGGGGCCUUUGAAGUAGUUUUACGGGUCUUUGUAGUUGUUUUGUGUCUCUUUGAAGUAGUUUUGUGUCUCUUUGAAGUAGUUUUGUGUCUCUUUGUAGUAGUUUUGUGGCUCUUUGAAAGUAGUUUUGUGUCUCUUUGAAAGUAGUUUUGUGUCUCUUUGUAGUUGUUUUGUGUCUCUUUGUAGUAGUUUUGUGGGUCUUUGUAGUUGUUUUGUGGGUCUUUGUAGUUGUUUUGUGUCUCUUUGAAGUAUUUUGUGGGUCUUUUGUAGUUGUUUUGUGUCUCUUUGAAGUAGUUUUGUGGGUCUUUGUAGUUGUUUUGUGUCUCUUUGAAGUAGUUUUGUGGGUCUUUGUAGUAGUUUUGUGGGUCUUUUUAGUUGUCUUGUGUCUCUUUGUAGUAGUUUUGCGGGUCUUUGUAGUUGUUUUGUGUCAUUUUGUAGUAGUUUUGCGGGUCUUUGUAGUUGUUUUGUGUCUUUUUGUAGUUGUUCUGUGGGUCUUUGAAGUUGUUUUCCUGACUGGAGCUCUGUGUCCCGACGAAAACAUAAAUAUUGUUACGUAAUAUUUUCCUAAAUGUAUAAAGCCCAGUUUUCUGUGUUUUCCUGCUGACACUGCAGCUGUAGCAUGACGUACAACUAGUAGCAUGUAAUAUGUUCUCUC
Molecule: long non-coding RNA, 732 nt
Organism: Gasterosteus aculeatus aculeatus (three-spined stickleback)
Lineage: Eukaryota; Metazoa; Chordata; Actinopteri; Perciformes; Gasterosteidae
Source: Ensembl